Molecule: long non-coding RNA, 2022 nt
Organism: Ostrinia furnacalis (Asian corn borer)
Lineage: Eukaryota; Metazoa; Arthropoda; Insecta; Lepidoptera; Crambidae
Exons: 2
Source: RefSeq, a predicted model, not a curated record
UUAACCACCAAGCUCCUGAAGGUCACAUUCUGACACAGACACAGUCAGAAACGAAGGAGGUACUCGAUCACGGGCCCUCCUCAAAUUGACCACCAAGCUCAUGAACUUGACCGAACAGCUCGACAUGACGCUGUCGGCUUGUUAUCUACCAGGAGAUGGGAUUGCAGACCGGGCCAUAGGCACGGUAUCCCAGACCACCUGUAACAUCAAAGGGUCGAGUAGUACCCAGGUGGAAUCUAUUAGUACCCCAGGCCGCGGAGGCCAUACUCAGUGUAUGGGGAGUCCCAGACAGAGACUUGUUUGCUUCCAUUUAGAAUAUAUUAGUACCCCAGGCCGCGGAGGCCAUACUCAGUGUAUGGGGAGUCGCAGACAGAGACUUGUUUGUUCCAGUUAGAAUCCAUUAGUACCCCCGGCCACAGAGGCUAUAUUCAUUAUGUAGGGGUGUCCCAAAAUAGACUUAUUGGCUUCCAGGGCCACGGCAGUAGUAUUAACUAUGUUACACUGGACUCAAAAGAUGGAUGUUAAAUAUUAAAUAAAAUUAUACUGUUUGUGUUCCUUAAAUGAACAAGUAAAAUUAUAAUUGAAAAUUAGCUAAUAAAUAGUAUUAUCCAUCUUUUGUACCACAUUAAGGCAAAUAGAUCAGAACUCUGAUUCUUUAUGACGCCCUUCAGCCGUCUCUGGGAUUAUCAGCUGGAUGAGUGUUUUCACCUCCCAGCUACAGACGUUACCAUACUUGAAUGGCAGACGGAACAUACAUUCUAAUAACAUCGGCCCCAGUGCUAAUAAAGGAUCUGUUAGAGACCCUAGUCUACAACAAGUAGAUAAGUUAUCUCUCCAAAAUUUAAAAUUGGUGGUGGAAGGAGCAAUCAUAAGAUGCAUUAUGUGGGUCAAUCUCACAGCAUUGACCACAAGUUACCAACUGGUAGUGAUGUGGUAGCCAGUGGCGGCGUAGCGUGGCUUGGCGCGCGGGGCGGUCCGUACCCCCCAUAUAUAUCCGCCCCCCCGGGGGCUAUGGCACCCCAGAAUGGUCUGGUCUGGUGCCCCCCAGGAUUUUUGGGUUACCGAUUCGAAGAUGAAAGAUGUUUUACGCCGUUACUAUAGCGCUGCUGUUAGCCAAGCUGUUUUUACAGCAAAAACUUGCAGUACAAAACUGAUACUUAGGUCAGUUGUAUCUACCUUUACCUUUUGUACAUCAGUUCCUUAAGGCCAUUUCACUUGCAAGGCCAAGUACACCGAGAUCACCGGUCUUUAGUAUUAAAUUACUGGAAUUAAUUUGACUGGUUGCCGGCUGCUGGACUUUCUUCUAGCAUUGAAUUUUACUUGAUAAACAGCUCUCAUUCUUCUUCUUGCUUCAGAUCGAAGAAUCCAUGAUCUCAUUCCUUUGGACACAUUACAGGAUUACUUUGUUGAAGUAUCAGAAUAUGAUCACAUUGUGACAUUGGCGUAUCUAGGGUUGUUUUGCGGGGGGGGGCCCAGAACCUCCCCGCUAUAGACAUGACGUCAGCAUUUUGGCUGAUAUUUGGAUCUGAAUCUGAUUCAACCACCUACAGACUGUCUCUGACUGCUAAGCACCCAGAUGAACGCAUAAUUAUGUCCUGUAGUUUCAUAUUAGUGAGCUGAUAAAGACUUCAUUUUAAUGGAGACCCCAGAGUUAUGUGUGAAAUUUGUUUAUUUCCAUAAACAAUAUGAUAACGCCUGUUUUCCAGGUCAAAUAUUACAAAUUGGAUUAAGAUCAUUUUUAGUGAAUAAUUACUUCUCCAAGAAGUGCAGUGAAUAUUUGCUUCUCCAUGAAGUGUUUGGUCUGCAGUAACAUCCAGAUACUGGCUGGACAAGAGAGUAGUUGAUAAGACCCCCAAUAUUUAAUUGGAGGUGGGGGUAUGUAUACCUUUAUGAAAUAUUACUGCAGAGACCUACGAAGGAACAAUAACAUCUUGUAUUUAUGAGUUUAUAAUUUUACAAGCAUGUUAUUAAUAGUUAAUUGUUUAAUGUUAUGUUAUUCAUAACAAGUUUUUAGUAAUGUUU